UGCGGGGGUUGCCAAGUGGACAAAGGCGCAGCGUUGAGGUCGCUGUCCCGUAGGGGUUCGGGGGUUCGAAUCCCCUCCUCCGCAU
This 85-nucleotide transfer RNA is filed under the name Candidatus Methanophagaceae archaeon GoMg2. Its description in RNAcentral is "tRNA-Leu". It matches the Rfam family "tRNA". From Rfam's summary of the family: Transfer RNA (tRNA) molecules are approximately 80 nucleotides in length. Lineage: Archaea; Methanobacteriati; Methanobacteriota; Methanomicrobia; Candidatus Methanophagales; Candidatus Methanophagaceae. The record is from RNAcentral. RNAcentral also lists the same sequence under 1 other name.